RNAcentral lists this long non-coding RNA (415 nucleotides) under Homo sapiens (human). RNAcentral's name for it is "non-protein coding lnc-OR2AJ1-1:1". Lineage: Eukaryota; Metazoa; Chordata; Mammalia; Primates; Hominidae. The record is from RNAcentral.
AAACACUAGAGGGUGAAUGAGGAGUUAAUGUAAGCAGCAUCAUAUUUUUGCUCAUUCCUUUCUCUAUGAUUUCUGCUUCUUCUGUCCAAAUUCUGUGAGGUGUCCUCUAGAUGAAAUUAUCACAGGCAUGGAAAAGGUCAUUUUCCACUUGGUCCAUCCUCAUGAUUGCAGUUGUAACAUACUGGGACUCAUUCAUUUUCACAUAUGUAUAUGAGACUUAAAUCAUCCACAUUUCAGGCCAGGUUAAGUUUCUAGAAAUAUUCUAUGCUUUCCUUGCACUUACACUCAAUCCUGUCGUCUACAGCGUUGGCACUGACAGUGUUCUGGUGGCAAUGAAAAAUAUGCUCUAGAGCAACAUUCUACAUAAAAAAAAGAAUAGGAAAAUUCCUUUCACUUGUGUAUUCCCUCUAUUUCC